CUGACGAUAUGUUGUACGUACCAUUCAAGUUCAAAUGAAAAUAGAAACUAGACGUACAUUUUCACGUACAGUACAUGUUUGUCGUGCUUAAAUGUGCUAAUGGCUGCUUUCACAAUUAGCCUUCCAGACAAGGAAACAGAUUUCAAGCAGCUAUUUUAAUAAAUAUCAAGUGUAUUAAUUGUCCAUCACUUUUUGCACAGGCGCCCCCCUCAAGCGGGGCCUGAUGUGAGCGGCGGGGGGGGGGGGGGGAUGGUAAAUACCUCUGUAGGCAGUGUCCCUGACAUUAAUAACAAUGAGAUUGGCAUAAGCACGGGCAAGAUUCACAGUUUGACAUUCAGGCCAGAUGCUAUCUCGGCGCCUCGGCGCGCGGGAAACGCGGCGAGAAGACAGACAUCUGUCACUUGUUACCUUUUGAAGUGAAUAAGAGAGAGCGCCGCGGCCAAAAAAAAGUGCGCGGCGGCGGACAAAAGGCCGUUCUGACCGACGGACCCUCGGUGUUUACAAACGGGGGAGGGCGACAGCAGCAACUCCAGAUGAAUGGAUCACCGCCGUUGAUCUCGCCUCCUCAUUCCGUGUGCUAAGUUAUUCCGUGGCUGCUAACCCAGCAGGGGGGGUUGGCUGGGCUGGGUGUGGGUACAGGAAGUUGAGAGAGGCAGACAGAACGCCUGAAGGACUCUGGAGGAGCUGAGCGCUUCUGCAGCCUGAAAAAAAUAAAAAUAUCAGACUCCCCAACAACCGACUGAACACUUCUGUAACCGGAGGUAGCAAACAUAAUCCUUCUUAUUAAUGAGUGGAUGAUGCUACAUUAGGGCAAUAUUUGCAAUAGUGUGCAAACAUCUAUAGCCCAGCCACAGAAACUUCCACUUCGCCCACAAAAAGAAAAAAUGUUUGCUAAGGAAUUACUGAGCACGAUAACGCUUACUUAUUCAUUCCGUCAUGGCAGAGCUUCCGCAUUACGUGAAUAUGCCCCCUGGUGGUUGAGAGAAGUAUAAAGAGAUGAUAGCAACUGGAUUUAGUGGCAAUAUUCCCCAUGAAAUGCUCCAAAAUUGCAGAACACAGUUGGAGCGGGUUGAACUGUAAGGGGGAGCCCAAAAGAGGAAUUGGAUUAGGACACACCAGACUGAAUUGGACAUUGCACCUUAUAAACAAACAGGGUUACGUGACAGCUGCAAUGAGGUAGCGUCGGUGGAAAAUGCAAUCAUUCAUUGGUGGGAAUACGCUGGAAAAAAACUAAGAGAGGAAUGUAAAAAGGAAGUUAGGAAGUACAAAGAGAUGAUAGCAACUGGAUUUAGUGGCAAUAUUCCCCAUGAAAUGCUCCAAAAUUGCAGAACACAGUCGGAGCGGGUUGAACUGUAAGGGGGAGCCCAAAAGAGGAAUUGGAUUAGGACACACCAGACUGAAUUGGACAUUGCACCUUAUAAACAAACAGCCAUCAGGGUUAUGUGACAGCUGCAAUGAGGUCGCGUCGGUGGAAAACGCAAUCAUUCAUUGGUGGGAAUACGCUGGAAAAAACUAAGAGAGGAAUGUAAAAAGGAAGUUAGGAAGUACAAAGAGAUGAUAGCAACUGGAUUUAGUGGCGCUAUUCCCCAUGACAUGCUCCAAAUUGCAGAACACAGUUGGAGCGGGUUGAACUGUAAGGGGGAGCCCACAAGAGGAAUUGGAUUAGGACACACCAGACUGAAUUGGACAUUGCACCUUAUAAACAAACAGCCAUCAGGGUUACGUGACAGCUGCAAUGAGGUAGCGUCGGUGGAAAACGCAAUCAUUCAUUGGUGGAAAUACGCUGGAAAAAACUAAGAGAGAAAGUUAAAAAGGAAGUUAGGAAGUACAAAGAGAUGAUAGCAACUGGAUUUAGUGGCAAUAUUCCCCAUGAAAUGCUCCAAAAUUGCAGAACACAGUUGGAGCGGGUUGAACUGUAAGGGGGAGCCCAAAAGAGGAAUUGGAUUAGGACACACCAGACUGAAUUGGACAUUGCACCUUAUAAACAAACAGGGUUACGUGACAGCUGCAAUGAGGUAGCAUCGGUGGAAAAUGCAAUCAUUCAUUGGUGGAAAUACGCUGGAAAAAACUAAGAGAGGAAGUUAAAAAGGAAGUUAGGAAGUACAAAGAGAUGAUAGCAACUGGAUUUAGUGGCAAUAUUCCCCAUGAUAUGCUCCAAAAUUGCAGAACACAGUUGUAGCGGGUUGAACUGUAAGGGGGAGCCCAAAAGAGGAAUUGGAUUAGGACACACCAGACUGAAUUGGACAUUGCACCUUAUAAACAAACAGCCAUCAGGGUUACGUGACAGCUGCAAUGAGGUAGCGUCGGUGGAAAAUGCAAUCAUUCAUUGGUGGGAAUACGCUGGAAAAAACUAAGAGAGGAAGUUAAAAAGGAAGUUAGGAAGUACAAAGAGAUGAUAGCAACUGGAUUUAGUGGCAAUAUUCCCCAUGAAAUGCUCCAAAAUUGCAGAACACAGUCGGAGCGGGUUGAACUGUAAGGGGGAGCCCACAAGAGGAAUUGGAUUAGGACACACCAGACUGAAUUGGACAUUGCACGUUAUAAACAAACAGGGUUACGUGGCAGCUGCAAUGAGGUAGCGUCGGUGGAAAAUGCAAUCAUUCAUUGGUGGAAAUAUACGCUGGAAAAAACUAAGAGAGGAAGUUAAAAAGGAAGUUAGGAAGUACAAAGAGAUGAUAGCAACUGGAUUUAGUGGGAAUAUUCCCCAUGAAAUGCUCCAAAAUUGCAGAACACAGUUGGAGCGGGUUGAACUGUAAGGGGGAGCCCAAAAGAGGGAUUGGAUUAGGACACACCAGACUGAAUUGGACAUUGCACCUUAUAAACAAACAGCCAUCAGGGUUAUGUGACAGCUGCAAUGAGGUAGCAUCGGUGGAAAAUGCAAUCAUUCAUUGGUGGAAAUAUACGCUGGAAAAAACUAAGAGAGGAAGUUAAAAAGGAAGUUAGGAAGUACAAAGAGAUGAUAGCAACUGGAUUUAGUGGCGCUAUUCCCCAUGACAUGCUCCAAAUUGCAGAACACAGUUGGAGCGGGUUGAACUGUAAGGGGGAGCCCAAAAGAGGAAUUGGAUUAGGACACACCAGACUGAAUUGGACAUUGCACCUUAUAAACAAACAGCCAUCAGGGUUACGUGACAGCUGCAAUGAGGUAGCGUCGGUGGAAAAUGCAAUCAUUAAUUGGUGGAAAUACGCUGGAAAAAACUAAGAGAGGAAUGUAAAAAGGAAGUUAGGAAGUACAAAGAGAUGAUAGCAACUGGAUUUAGUGGCAAUAUUCCCCAUGAAAUGCUCCAAAAUUGCAGAACACAGUUGGAGCGGGUUGAACUGUAAGGGGGAGCCCAGAAGAGGAAUUGGAUUAGGACACACCAGACUGAAUUGGACAUUGCACCUUAUAAACAAACAGCCAUCAGGGUUAUGUGACAGCUGCAAUGAGGUAGCGUCGGUGGAAAAUGCAAUCAUUCAUUGGUGGGAAUACGCUGGAAAAAACUAAGAGAGGAAGUUAAAAAGGAAGUUAGGAAGUACAAAGAGAUGAUAGCAACUGGAUUUAGUGGCAAUAUUCCCCAUGAAAUGCUCCAAAAUUGCAGAACACAGUUGGAGCGGGUUGAACUGUAAGGGGGAGCCCACAAGAGGGAUUGGAUUAGGACACACCAGACUGAAUUGGACAUUGCACGUUAUAAACAAACAGGGUUACGUGGCAGCUGCAAUGAGGUAGCGUCGGUGGAAAAUGCAAUCAUUCAUUGGUGGAAAUAUACGCUGGAAAAAACUAAGAGAGGAAUGUAAAAAGGAAGUUAGGAAGUACAAAGAGAUGAUAGCAACUGGAUUUAGUGGCAAUAUUCCCCAUGAAAUGCUCCAAAUUGCAGAACACAGUCGGAGCGGGUUGAACUGUAAGGGGGAGCCCAAAAGAGGAAUUGGAUUAGGACACACCAGACUGAAUUGGACAUUGCACCUUAUAAACAAACAGGGUUACGUGACAGCUGCAAUGAGGUAGCGUCGGUGGAAAAUGCAAUCAUUCAUUGGUGGAAAUACGCUGGAAAAAACUAAGAGAGGAAGGUAAAAAGGAACUUAGGAAGUACAAAGAGAUGAUAGCAACUGGAUUUAGUGGCAAUAUUCCCCAUGAAAUGCUCCAAAAUUGCAGAACACAGUUGGAGCGGGUUGAACUGUAAGGGGGAGCCCAAAAGAGGAAUUGGAUUAGGACACACCAGACUGAAUUGGACAUUGCACCUUAUAAACAAACAGGGUUAUGUGACAGCUGCAAUGAGGUAGCAUCGGUGGAAAAUGCAAUCAUUCAUUGGUGGAAAUAUACGCUGGAAAAAACUAAGAGAGGAAGUUAAAAAGGAAGUUAGGAAGUACAAAGAGAUGAUAGCAACUGGAUUUAGUGGCGCUAUUCCCCAUGACAUGCUCCAAAUUGCAGAACACAGUUGGAGCGGGUUGAACUGUAAGGGGGAGCCCAAAAGAGGAAUUGGAUUAGGACACACCAGACUGAAUUGGACAUUGCACCUUAUAAACAAACAGCCAUCAGGGUUAUGUGACAGCUGCAAUGAGGUAGCAUCGGUGGAAAAUGCAAUCAUUCAUUGGUGGGAAUACGCUGGAAAAAACUAACAGAGGAAUGUAAAAAGGAAGUUAGGAAGUACAAAGAGAUGAUAGCAACUGGAUUUAGUGGCGCUAUUCCCCAUGAAAUGCUCCAAAUUGCAGAAGGCGAGGCAAGGCGACUUUAUUUAUAUAGCACGUUUACAACCAUUUUUAAAUUGGACCAAAGUGCUUUGCAGGUUAAAAAGCAUAGAGCAAAAAACAAAACAUAAUCAAUGAAUGCGCACAACAAGAUAGUGCAAAAGCAAUACGGUAAAAAGUUAAAAGUUAAAGUACCAAUGAUUGUCACACACACACUAGGUGUGUCGAAAUUAUUCUCUGUAAAUACCUUCCAUUACUACUAUUAGGACACAGGUGUCAAAUUCAAGGCCCGCGUUUCUGGGUGUUGUUGAUACAUGGCUUUGGCUUUGCAUAGUAGAGCUCUUUAGUUAAAAGUUCAAGUACCAAUGAUUGUCACACACACACACGAGGUGUGACGAAAUUAUUCUCUGUAAAUACCUUCCAUUACUACUAUUAGGACACAGGUGUCAAAUUCAAGGCCCGCGUUUCUGGGUGUUGUUGAUACAUGGCUUUGGCUUUGCAUAGUAGAGCUCUUUAGUUAAAAGUUCAAGUACCAAUGAUUGUCACACACACACACUAGGUGUGGCGAAAUUAUUCUCUGUAAAUACCUUCCAUUACUACUAUUAGGACACAGGUGUCAAACUCAAGGCCCGCGUUUCUGGGUGUUGUUGAUACAUGGCUUUGGCUUUGCAUAGUAGAGCUCUUUAGUUAAAAGUUCAAGUACCAAUGAUUGUCACACACACACUAGGUAUGGCGAAAUUAUUCUCUGUAAAUACCUUCCAUUACUACUAUUAGGACACAGGUGUCAAACUCAAGGCCCGCGUUUCUGGGUGUUGUUGAUACAUGGCUUUGGCUUUGCAUAGUAGAGCUCUUUAGUUAAAAGUUCAAGUACUAAUGAUUGUCACACACACACUAGGUGUGGCGAAAUUAUUCUCUGCAAAUACCUUCCAUUACUACUAUUAGGACACAGGUGUCAAACUCAAGGCCCGCGUUUCUGGGUGUUGUUGAUACAUGGUUUUGGCUUUGCAUAGUAGAGCUCUUUAGUUAAAAGUUAAAGUACCAAUGAUUGUCACACA
Long non-coding RNA from Nerophis lumbriciformis (worm pipefish), 5711 nucleotides. RefSeq lists it as uncharacterized. NCBI's taxonomy places the organism in Eukaryota, Metazoa, Chordata, Actinopteri, Syngnathiformes, Syngnathidae. The record is from RefSeq and is a predicted model, not a curated record.